Molecule: ribosomal RNA, 64 nt
Filed under: uncultured bacterium
Lineage: Bacteria
Description: partial 16S ribosomal RNA
Source: RNAcentral
AGGGCUUGACAUGCUAGUGGUAUCCCGGUGGAAACACUGGGAGACCCCUUUGGGGAGCUAGCAC